UACAAUGGAGAGUUUGAUCCUGGCUCAGGACGAACGCUAGCGGCAGGCUUAAUACAUGCAAGUCGAACGGUCAGCAAUGGCAGUGGCG
RNAcentral lists this ribosomal RNA (88 nucleotides) under Bacteroidota bacterium. RNAcentral describes it as "Bacteroidetes bacterium (microbial mat metagenome) partial 16S ribosomal RNA". It matches the Rfam family "Bacterial small subunit ribosomal RNA", at positions 1 to 100 of the family's 1533-position model. Lineage: Bacteria; Pseudomonadati; Bacteroidota. The record is from RNAcentral.